GUUGGCUAGAAGGACUCUUUAACGGACUACAAAUCCCGGCAUACAGAGUAGUUAGCCGCUUCUGGCCGCGCGUUCUGAAGCCUGUUAUAUCAGUGUCUCUAUUUCCGCAGACUGGAAACAAUUCAAAUAUCUCAACUGGCGAAUGGACAAACAAAAAUGUGAUACAUCCAUAGGAUGAAAUGAUACUCCACGGUAAAAACGAACUGAUAAGUCUGUCAACAUGAAUGAAUCUGAGAAUGAUUAUGCUGCGUGAAAAAAUCCAGGCACAGCACAUGCUGUACAAUCUCAUUUUAUGAAAUUCUAGAAAAGGAAGGGUACCUUUCGCAUGGGAGAUUUAUUCCUUGCUUUCUGGAGACAAAAGGAAGUCAGAAUUUCAUUUAUACAGAAGCAAAGAAGAGAAUUAUCUGUUGAAUUUUGUUGAAGAUGAGCAUUGAGUUCUCCUAUAGCUACCACAUCCUGCAAACACACACGAGUUAGAGUGUAUGAGAGGAGAAAUGGAGAAUACAACCAUUUGUACUGUCCACUCCCAAUUAAAAGGGAAAAAUGGGUGAGGCGUAUUGAACACACACAAAACACUCUUUUCAACCUGAAAUUUCUGUUCAUUUAUGUGCUUUGCUAUAGAUUGCUUUUCUAACUUUACUUAUUAAAAAAGCUGGAGGGCACCUGGGUCGCUCAGUCCAUAAGCGGCUGCCUUCCGCUCAGGUCAUGAUCCCAGGAUUCUGCGAUCAAGGCCCACAUCGCGCUCCCCGCUCAGCAGGAAGCCUGCUUCUGCCUCUCCCACUCCCCCUGUUUGUGUUCCCUCUCUCUCUCUGUGUCUGUCUCUAUCAAAUAAAUAAACAAAAUCUUUAAAAAAAAAAGCUGGAGAAUAUUUAAGACCAUAGGAGCUAAAUAAGAAAACAUGUUGCCUGACUAAUCAUCUUGAAAGCACGUUUCUAAGGAAGAAUAAAUUUGACUAUGUUUUGUUCUUUAUCAUAAGCUGCAGGGAACCUCUUUUUGUGCCUUCCUGACAUUCAGUAUAAGGAGAUAAGGGUUCUUCUCAUAAUCUUUUCCUAAAGAACCUGCCUUUACCCAUUGUGUGUUAAGGCGUGUAUUGGCUCCAAUAGCUUGUAAGACAUGUUUUGGAGAAUUUCAUGAUGUCACAAACAUGUCUAUUGUAGAAAAUAGUUCCAGCUCACAAGUUGUAUCUGUUAUUAAUUACUCAAGUCAUGGCAGACUGGCAAACCACAAGUAAAAGAUAGUAGUGUUUCUAAUGGGAUUUAUUCACAAUGCAAAGUCUUGCAUAUACUUCCCCUUACCUGUUUUAGUUGAAGUUUUUGGUCAAUCAUAAUUCAUUGUUAACAUUAUUAUGAUAAUUUAUUGUUGUUCAUAGCUGAGACAUAUAAUACAGUUGACCCUUGAACAACAUGGGUUUGAACUGCACAGGUCCCCUCGUGCAUGGAUUUUUUUCAGUAAAUAUACAUAUAG
Lutra lutra (Eurasian river otter) is the source of this 1464-nucleotide long non-coding RNA. RefSeq lists it as uncharacterized. The record is from RefSeq and is a predicted model, not a curated record. The transcript has 4 exons. NCBI's taxonomy places the organism in Eukaryota, Metazoa, Chordata, Mammalia, Carnivora, Mustelidae.